RNAcentral lists this unclassified non-coding RNA (720 nucleotides) under Bombus terrestris (buff-tailed bumblebee). Its description in RNAcentral is "misc RNA ENSBTSG00005038819.1". Lineage: Eukaryota; Metazoa; Arthropoda; Insecta; Hymenoptera; Apidae. The record is from RNAcentral.
AUGUUUUCGCAAAAUGGCGCCAAACAAGAGCAACGUUUCUGUUUAUAUCGUGCUUUCUGUAUUUGUGAAAUUAUGAAUUAGCAGCUUAUUGGAUCGUAUUUCAUCGCCAGUAAAUGGUCAAGUCGAACGAUUUCCUGCAUAAUCUCGAUCUAUUUCGCUACAGUUCACAAUUUCGAUGUAAUUAUUGGCCGGUCACGGGACUGAGAGAAUAGGGGUUCACAUCACAGACGCCAUAGACGAUUAAUAAUCGAUAAUUCGAACUGAUACGAAAUGGAUGCCACAUUUACUAUGCUUCGCAAACGAUUAGAUUAUCAACAUUCCUAGGUUAAAUAUUGUUACUUUAGCGUUCCUAUUUUUAUAGUAAUUGGACUUUAACAGGAUUUCAAUUUGUUUUAUUAUUAAAAUUUCGAACAGAGAUUAGAGUUUAGAAAUUUUGAAUAGAGUUUCAUUUUUCAUUAGCUUAGACUCCUUAAACAACGAAGGAUAUAUUUUUAUAUUCCAAUUAAUUUUAUUCCUUUGAUUAUUCUACUUUAAUUAUUUAUAAUGAAAAAACAAGUUUGAUUUUAAAAUUUAACAUCAGAGUUUCAAUUGUUGGAGUAAUUAGAGUUUACUAGCAAUUUAAUCUUUCUAUUAUUAUUAAAGUUUACCACUUAGUUUUCAAAAUAUAUUAUUCACGGAUAUAUUAUUCAUAUAUGCAUAAUAAGUCAUAUUUUGUUAAAG